GAAAUAUGGUGAUGGUAGAGGGUUG
RNAcentral lists this non-coding RNA (25 nucleotides) under Rattus norvegicus (Norway rat). The record is from RNAcentral. Lineage: Eukaryota; Metazoa; Chordata; Mammalia; Rodentia; Muridae.